AUGACGUCAAGUCGGCAUGGCCUUCAUACUCCUGGGCCUACACACACGCUACAAUGGUCGGUACAAUAGGUUGCCAAGCCGCGAGGCGGAGCCAAUCCAACAAAGACCGGCCUCCAGUUCAGAUUGUAGGCUGCAACUCGCCUGCAUGAAGAUGGAGUUGCUAGUAACCGCAGGUCAGCAAUACUGCGGUGAAUACGCUCCCGGGUCUU
This 209-nucleotide ribosomal RNA is filed under the name uncultured Anaerolineaceae bacterium. Its description in RNAcentral is "partial 16S ribosomal RNA". It matches the Rfam family "Bacterial small subunit ribosomal RNA", at positions 1179 to 1382 of the family's 1533-position model. Lineage: Bacteria; Bacillati; Chloroflexota; Anaerolineae; Anaerolineales; Anaerolineaceae. The record is from RNAcentral.